RNAcentral lists this long non-coding RNA (627 nucleotides) under Homo sapiens (human). The record is from RNAcentral. Lineage: Eukaryota; Metazoa; Chordata; Mammalia; Primates; Hominidae.
AGCCUUUAUCUCCACUCUGCGGAGAUUCACGCCUGGAAAACGCUCUUCUGAGAGGAUCUGUGGAGGUCAACCCAGGAGAGAGAAGACAGGACUGAAGCACUGAAAGGGUCCUGCCGUUAAGGGCGCAGGAUUGUAUAGAAUAUAUAAUAGCAGUAGCAGCUCUGUUUACGGAGCAUUAACCUUACGUGGAGUUAUUUCCUGCAUUUCCUCCUUUCGUCUUUACAAGGUAGCCGUUUGGCGUCGUGAGUAUGUGCCAAAUCUACUAGACAUUGGAGAAACAGUAGGAACAACACAUGGUACCGGCACAUGGAUCUUUCAGGAAAACGAAGUAGGUAAUAAACAGGAAAAAGCCCGAGUCUGAUGCUAAGAAGAACAUAAACAGGAUGCUGAGCGGAAAGUGACCAGAAGAGGUGUGCAGUUUCCAGGCCUGGCCCAUACAGACCUCCAACAGGUGCUCCCCUGUGCUGUUACUCCUUCUGCCAACUGGAAGCAGAUGGUGACCAGGCUCUGGAGAAGGCAAGGCCUGAAGAUGGGAGAUUCCUAAGUGGAGGAGAACUGUGCCUUACUGACCUAAAUAUCCACUCAGUAUUGUUAUGUGAGAAUAAAUAAACUUGUGUUGACCGUUUA